AAGUCGUAACAAGGUCUCCGUUGGUGAACCAGCGGAGGGAUCAUUACUGAGUACUACACUCUCUACCCUUUGUGAACUAUUAUACCUGUUGCUUCGGCGGCGCCCGCAAGGGUGCCCGCCGGUCUCGAUCAGAAUCUCUGUUUUCGAACCCGACGAUACUUCUGAGUGUUCUUAGCGAACUGUCAAAACUUUUAACAACGGAUCUCUUGGCUCCAGCAUCGAUGAAGAACGCAGCGAAACGCGAUAUGUAAUGUGAAUUGCAGAAUUCAGUGAAUCAUCGAAUCUUUGAACGCACAUGGCGCCUUCCAGUAUCCUGGGAGGCAUGCCUGUCCGAGCGUCGUUUCAACCCUCGAGCCCCUGUGGCCCGGCGUUGGGGAUCUGCCACGGCAGGCCCCUAAAACCAGUGGCGGACCCGAAGGGCCCUCUCCUUUGCGCAGUAGCAUUCGCCUCGCAUCGGGAGUCCUCGGCGUCCUGCCUCUAAACCCCCCACAAGCCCGCUUCGGCGGCACCAAGGUUGACCUCGGAUCAGGUAGGAAUACCCGCUGAACUUAA
Molecule: ribosomal RNA, 552 nt
Filed under: uncultured fungus
Lineage: Eukaryota; Fungi
Description: eukaryotic LSU rRNA
Rfam family: 5.8S ribosomal RNA (bases 187-340)
Source: RNAcentral